Molecule: ribosomal RNA, 798 nt
Filed under: uncultured Desulfurococcales archaeon
Lineage: Archaea; Thermoproteati; Thermoproteota; Thermoprotei; Desulfurococcales
Description: partial 16S ribosomal RNA
Rfam family: Archaeal small subunit ribosomal RNA
Source: RNAcentral
GGACCCGACUGCUAUCGGGGUAGGGCUAAGCCAUGGAAGUCGAACGCCCCGCCGCUGCGGGGCGUGGCGCACGGCUGAGUAACGCGUGGCUAACCUACCCUCGGGAGGGGGAUAACCUCUCGGGAAACUGGGGCUAAUCCCCCAUAGGCGGGGAGGCCUGGAAAGGUUCCCCGCCAAAAGGGAGCGCGGGGGGCCAUCGCCUGCGCUCCGCCCGAGGAUGGGGCUGCGGCCUAUCAGGUAGUUGGCGGGGUAACGGCCCGCCAAGCCGAAGACGGGUAGGGGCCGUGAGAGCGGGAGCCCCCAGAUGGGCACUGAGACAAGGGCCCAGGCCCUACGGGGCGCACCAGGCGCGAAAACUCCGCAAUGCGGGAAACCGUGACGGGGCUACCCCGAGUGCCCCCCUUGUGGGGGCUUUUCCCCGCUGUAAGAAGGCGGGGGAAUAAGCGGGGGGCAAGUCUGGUGUCAGCCGCCGCGGUAAUACCAGCCCCGCGAGACCGGGGCCCUAAACAAGCCCCGGCGCGACUGGUCGGGGUGAUUAUUGGGCCUAAAGCGGCCGUAGCCGGCCCGGUAAGUCCCCCCUGAAAGUCUCGGGCUCAACCCGAGAAGCGGGGGGAUACUGCCGGGCUAGGGGGCGGGAGAGGCCGAGGGUACUCCCGGGGUAGGGGCGAAAUCCUAUAAUCCCGGGAGGACCACCAGUGGCGAAGGCGCUCGGCUGGAACGCGCCUGACGGUGAGGGCCGAAAGCCGGGGGAGCGAACCGGAUUAGAUACCCGGGUAGUCCCGGCUGUAAACGAUGCGG